This is a non-coding RNA of Glycine soja, 158 nucleotides long. Lineage: Eukaryota; Viridiplantae; Streptophyta; Magnoliopsida; Fabales; Fabaceae. The record is from Rfam.
UUGUUAAGUGAUGAUGUGGCAAACAGAGUGUCAUAUCAUCAUGCCUUGUCACAGACACCCCAUUGCCAUGUCAUUACCUUCAAUGACAUGGUAAUGAUGUGUCAGUGAUUGGGCGUGAUGAUGUGACACUCCAUUUGUCAUGUCAUCACUUAACAUAA